AGGGCACCACCAGGAGUGGAGCCUGCGGCUUAAUUUGACUCAACACGGGAAAACUCACCCGGCCCGGACACUGGAAGGAUUGACAGAUUGAGAGCUCUUUCUUGAUUCAGUGGGUGGUGGUGCAUGGCCGUUCUUAGUUGGUGGAGCGAUUUGUCUGGUUAAUUCCGAUAACGAACGAGACUCUAGCCUACUAAAUAGAUCGUCGGCUUACAAACGCUGAUGAGACUUCUUAGAGGGACAGGCGGCGAUUCAGCCGCACGAAACAGAGCAAUAACAGGUCUGUGAUGCCCUUAGAUGUCCGGGGCCGCACGCGCGCUACACUGAAGUGAUCAGCGUGCAUUUUCAGCCUACUCUGCCAAGAGUGGGAAACCCAAUGAACCUUCUUCGUGAUUGGGAUAGGAGAUUGUAAUUAUUCUCCUUGAACGAGGAAUUCCCAGUAAGCGCGAGUCAUAAGCUCGCGUUGAUUACGUCCCUGCCCUUUGUACACACCGCCCGUCGCUACUACCGAUUGAAUGUUUU
This 519-nucleotide ribosomal RNA is filed under the name uncultured eukaryote. Its description in RNAcentral is "SSU rRNA". It matches the Rfam family "Eukaryotic small subunit ribosomal RNA", at positions 1161 to 1699 of the family's 1831-position model. The record is from RNAcentral.